UGUUGCCUCGGCGGAUCAGCCCGCUCCCGGUAAAACGGGACGGCCCGCCAGAGGACCCCUAAACUCUGUUUCUAUAUGUAACUUCUGAGUAAAACCAUAAAUAAAUCAAAACUUUCAACAACGGAUCUCUUGGUUCUGGCAUCGAUGAAGAACGCAGCAAAAUGCGAUAAGUAAUGUGAAUUGCAGAAUUCAGUGAAUCAUCGAAUCUUUGAACGCACAUUGCGCCCGCCAGUAUUCUGGCGGGCAUGCCUGUUCGAGCGUCAUUUCAACCCUCAAGCCCAGCUUGGUGUUGGGACUCGCGAGUUAAAUCGCGUUCCCCAAAUUGAUUGGCGGUCACGUCGAGCUUCCAUAGCGUAGUAGUAAAACCCUCGUUACUGGUAAUCGUCGCGGCCACGCCGUUAAACCCCAACUUCUGAAUGUUGACCUCGGAUCAGGUAGGAAUACCCGCUGAACUUAA
RNAcentral lists this ribosomal RNA (457 nucleotides) under Fusarium succisae. RNAcentral describes it as "eukaryotic LSU rRNA". The stretch from base 110 to 263 matches the Rfam family "5.8S ribosomal RNA". Lineage: Eukaryota; Fungi; Ascomycota; Sordariomycetes; Hypocreales; Nectriaceae. The record is from RNAcentral.